Molecule: ribosomal RNA, 741 nt
Filed under: uncultured bacterium
Lineage: Bacteria
Description: bacterial SSU rRNA
Rfam family: Bacterial small subunit ribosomal RNA
Source: RNAcentral
CGAAAGCUAAAGGAAGUGAUUAGGAUUAGAUACCCUAGUAAUUUUAGCCGUAAACGAUGGAAACUCACUGCCGAGCCGGUAUUCGGAGCGGUGGUCAAGCUAACGCGUGAAGUUUCCCGCCUGGGGAUUACGCAUGCAAAUGUGAAACUCAAAGGAAUUGACGGGGACCCGCACAAGCGGUGGAGUAUGUGGUUUAAUUCGAUGCAACGCGAAAAACCUUACCAAGGUUUGAAAUCAUUUCAAAACUCCUUGAAAGAGGAGCCUCCUUCGGGAUGGAAUGACAGGUGGUGCAUGGCUGUCGUCAGCUCGUGUUGUGAAAUGUCAAGUUAAGUCUUGUAACGAGCGCAACCCAUGUCUUUUGUUGCUGUUUUACAGUGCUUAAAAGAGACUGCCGCUAUACAGCGGAGGAAGGUGUGGAUGAUGUCAAGUCAGCAUGCCCCUUAUAUCUUGGGCUACACACGUACUACAAUGGUAGGGACAAAGAGUCGCAAACCUGCGAAGGCUAGCCAAUCUCAUAAACCCUAUCUCAGUUCGGAUUGUACUCUGCAACUCGAGUACAUGAAGGUGGAAUCGCUAGUAAUCGCUGGUCAGCAUACAGCGGUGAAUACGUUCCCGGGUCUUGUACACACUGCCCGUCACACCAUGGAAGUCGAUCCUUCCCUAAGUCGUUACUCGAACCUUUAUGGACGAGGAUGCCGAAGGCAGGGUUGGUGACUGGGGUGAAGUCGUAACAAGGUAACC